RNAcentral lists this ribosomal RNA (405 nucleotides) under uncultured bacterium. Its description in RNAcentral is "partial 16S ribosomal RNA". It matches the Rfam family "Bacterial small subunit ribosomal RNA", at positions 28 to 526 of the family's 1533-position model. The record is from RNAcentral.
GAUGAACGCUGGCGGCGUGUCUAAUACGUGCAAGUCGAGCGAAGCGGGGACGGGUGAGUAACACGUAGAGAACCUCCUAUAAGACUGUUAUACCUUCUGGAACCCGGCGCUAAACCGGAUACUUAUUGUUUGAUCCGCGCUGCAUUAGCUAGUUGGUAAGGUAACGGCUUACCAAGGCAACGAUGCAUAGCCGAUCUGAGAGGGUGAUGGGACAGACAGGAACUGAGACACUGUCGAGACUCCUAAGGAAGGCAGCAGUAGGGAAACAGCCGCAAUGGGCGAAAGCCUGAGGGAGCAACGCGGCGUGAGUGCUGAAGGGCUGAGGAGCGUAAGAGUCUGUUAUUAGGGAAGCGGUCCCUAAUCAGAAAGCAACGGCUCACUACGCGCCAGCAGCCGCGGUAAUAC